CUCAGGCCAGUGUGGAACUCGGUGUGAAGCUGUAGCAGACACUGAGCUCACAGUAGCUUCCGAUCUCGGCCUCCCAAAUGAGGGCAUUAGAAGCAUGAACCAGCACAACGGCAGACAGGCUGCAUGUUGACAAAGAUGCACAGAUUGGGGUUGGAUGUCACUCGGCAGAAGGAAUCUCACCUAGAGCACUUGCGGCCCAGGAUUCAAUUCCCAGCACCACCUACAUGCAGAUACAAUAACAGAGCGGAGCUACAAAGCAUCUUGCUCUCGUUGGAAGCAGGGAAGGAGUAACAGGUAAAACUUAGGGCACCCCAGAGUCUGGGAUUCUGAGCUACGGUUACAGCUACGCAGGAGCAAGGCUGAACCUUCUACUGAUAGGAAAAGAGGAAGAACAGAGUGUACCAC
Molecule: long non-coding RNA, 405 nt
Organism: Mastomys coucha (southern multimammate mouse)
Lineage: Eukaryota; Metazoa; Chordata; Mammalia; Rodentia; Muridae
Exons: 3
Source: RefSeq, a predicted model, not a curated record